This 66-nucleotide transfer RNA is filed under the name Neotoma lepida (desert woodrat). It matches the Rfam family "tRNA", at positions 7 to 64 of the family's 71-position model. From Rfam's summary of the family: Transfer RNA (tRNA) molecules are approximately 80 nucleotides in length. Their secondary structure includes four short double-helical elements and three loops (D, anti-codon, and T loops). Lineage: Eukaryota; Metazoa; Chordata; Mammalia; Rodentia; Cricetidae. The record is from Rfam by way of RNAcentral.
GACGUGGCUCAGUUGGUAGAGUGCUUGCCUAGCAUGCAUGAAGCCCUGGGUUCUGUUCUCAGCAUC